Molecule: long non-coding RNA, 1663 nt
Filed under: Homo sapiens (human)
Lineage: Eukaryota; Metazoa; Chordata; Mammalia; Primates; Hominidae
Description: HSALNT0401103
Source: RNAcentral
GGAUCAUCUCACACACACUGCAGAUGGCACAGAAGGUUCCACUACGGCCUCCCCCAUUUCUAAACACAGAGCAAAGAGAAACCAGCAAGAAACUGAGCUCGGCUCCCUGGCUCACAUAGACAUGGAACAGAGAUCACAUCUGUGAGUGGAGGAGCCAGACUUUUCAUAUAAGCACAUGUAAAACUUUUGAAGUUGGCUGAUCCAAGAAUAGAUUCAAAUUCUUCAGCCAAGAGUCUAGACCAACUGACUUUUUCCACUUCAUUGCCUAGUUGACCCUUUGGGCCCGGAGCUCACGCACGCAGUUGAAGAUGUCCACCACCCCUUCAUUCUCGGCCAUGUCAAGCAUGGUGUCAAUGGCAAUGAAGCAGCCAGUCCGCCCAGCCCCAGCACUGGAAGAGAGCAAAUGGGUUGACGGAUGGAAGCAAAGAAGGAGAGGAGAGAGAACAGAGGGGAGAUGAAUGACAGGACAGAAACGAGAGUCCUCUGAGCUGUCCCCAAGACAGAGAGUGGUUGGUGGAGCACCACGUUCAAAGGCCGGCAUCUGGCUCCACCUGCAGCUGUUUUCGCAGGAUCGUGAAGCAAGAGUGUCAUGAAACUGGAGCAGCUGACCGUCCGGAGACCCUUGUCAGGGAUCAAGUUUCUUGAUACAUACUUACUUGAUUUCUGGUCACUAGUGGCUUCUUUAGGAGAAUCUCAGACCAAGUAUAAAAUGGUAGGGGAACUCAACGAGACUCUAUGGGCCUUGGCCAGCCCUUUCUAGAUCAGUGCUGGGCUCUGAAACAUCAGUGCUGACCAAGAGGCACGUAAGACAUGUGCCUUACACAUGUGCAGUUUUGGAUGGGAAGGCCGGGCAGCCUGUCAAGGAGGCCCCCUUCCGCUGCGUUUUCACAUCUUGCCUUUCUCAUGGAAACAAGUGUCUUUGUCUAACAAUGUAGAUGUCAAAAGACACACAAAGAGGAAGAGAGAUGGAACAAGACAAAAAAGCAAUAUUGGCUCAUGGUAAAUCCAAGGGGCACAGGCCAGUGCGGACCACUACCUACAACAAUUUGGAAAGUACACCCAUUGGAAGCAGAGUCUUCAUUCAUGAGAAACUUUCAUGGUUUGAAUGAAGUCUGACUUAAGUUUGCUUCAGAACCUACUCCCCAAAAUCCAGAUGCGGGGACUCAAGAGACUUGGCCUCUGUGUCUGGGAGGGAGUAUAGGGGGGGUCACUCGUGUUUUUUUCUUCAAUGUUCAUAUUCACCAUGCUUUAGUAUAAAGAAUCAGCCCAAUUUGGUUCCAAAUUUUGGAACAACUAUCAAUCAAUCAGCGGUGACCAAGUUGCCUAGUGUCCGUUUGUUUGUUAGCUUCAGAUUUCUGAUGCUUUUAACAUACCUCCCUGCAGGGUCCUUGUGAGGACAAAGCUGUGUUUAUUUCAUUUCAGCAUCACAUAGUAAUUGAACACAGGAUAUUUGAAAAGACCCCCUAGGAUUAAAUCCUGGCUCUAUUACUUAUUAGCUGCAUGACCUCGGGCAAAUGACUUAACCUCUCUGGGUUUCAAUACUCAUCUAUAAAAUGAUGUUGAUAAUAAUUAAAAUACUCACUCAUCUAUAAAAUGAUGUUGAUAAUAAUUAAUAGAUCCACCUCACAGCAUUAAUAGCACAAUAUGUAUAAAUUGGAUGAAA